Molecule: ribosomal RNA, 253 nt
Filed under: uncultured bacterium
Lineage: Bacteria
Description: partial 16S ribosomal RNA
Rfam family: Bacterial small subunit ribosomal RNA
Source: RNAcentral
UACGUAGGGGCCGAGCGUUGUCCGGAUUCAUUGGGCGUAAAGAGCGUGUAGGCGGUUUGGUAGGUCCGCUGUGAAAACUCGAGGCUCAACCUCGAGACGCCGGUGGAAACCAUCAGACUAGAGUCCGGAAGAGGAGAGUGGAAUUCCUGGUGUAGCGGUGAAAUGCGCAGAUAUCAGGAAGAACACCCGUGGCUAAGGCGGCUCUCUAGUACGGUACUGACGCUGAGACGCGAAAGCGUGGGGAGCGAACAGG